GUGAAGCUCUUUUGUCAGGAAGAAACAGCAGCUCUAAUACAGUUUGCGAAUGACGGUACCUGAAAAUAACACCGGCUAACUACGUGCCAGCAGCCGCGGUAAUCGUAGGGUGCAAGCGUUAAUCGGAAUACUGGGCGUAAAGCGUGGCAGGCGGUUAUGUAAAACAGGCGUGAAAUCCCCGGGCUUAACCUGGGAAUUGCGCUUGUGACUGCAUAGCUAGAGUAUGUCAGAGGGGGGUAGAAUUCCACGUGUAGCAGUGAAAUGCGUAGAGAUGUGGAGGAAUACCAAUGGCGAAGGCAGACCCCUGGGAUAAUACUGACGCUCAUGCACGAAAGCGUGGGGAGCAAACAGGAUUAGAUACCCUGGUAGUCCACGCCCUAAACGAUGCUGACCAGUUGUUCGGGAAUUUAUUCCUGAGUAACGUAGCUAACGCGUGAAGUCAGCCGACUGGGGAGUACGGUCGCAAGAUUAAAACUCAACGGACUUGACGGGGAACCGCACAAGCGGUGGAUGAUGU
RNAcentral lists this ribosomal RNA (517 nucleotides) under uncultured bacterium. Its description in RNAcentral is "bacterial SSU rRNA". It matches the Rfam family "Bacterial small subunit ribosomal RNA", at positions 425 to 942 of the family's 1533-position model. The record is from RNAcentral.